GCCGCUGUAGCUCCAGAUCUCUGUCCCUGCCUUCCCAUUCCGCUCAUAUUUCCUUAAUCUCUGUGUGUAGGCGUCCUUUUAAAGCCAAAUCAAACCCAAUCAGUAAAUGAAUUCUUUAUGUAUCGAUCAAUGAAUAUAUAUUUAGAGAGUAUAUAAAAAUGAAGCAAUGUCGAAGCCUCGCUUAUGUCUCACUAAAAGCAGAUAAAUGCUCUAAUCAGAGCUUCUCUCCUCUCUUACUUCGAUGUUUGUCCCUUUCCC
RNAcentral lists this unclassified non-coding RNA (258 nucleotides) under Hevea brasiliensis (rubber tree). Lineage: Eukaryota; Viridiplantae; Streptophyta; Magnoliopsida; Malpighiales; Euphorbiaceae. The record is from RNAcentral.